Molecule: ribosomal RNA, 600 nt
Filed under: Lactobacillus sp. JCM 2764
Lineage: Bacteria; Bacillati; Bacillota; Bacilli; Lactobacillales; Lactobacillaceae
Description: bacterial SSU rRNA
Rfam family: Bacterial small subunit ribosomal RNA
Source: RNAcentral
UCGACGCGUCCCGGUUGAUGAAGUUGAGUGCUUGCACUUGAUUGAUUCAACUUGGUGACGAGUGGCGAACUGGUGAGUAACACGUGGGUAACCUGCCCCGAAGCGGGGGAUAACAUUUGGAAACAGGUGCUAAUACCGCAUAACAACCAAAACCUCCUGGUUUUGGUUUAAAAGACGGCUCCGGCUGUCACUUUGGGAUGGACCCGCGGCGUAUUAGCUAGUUGGUGAGGUAACGGCUCACCAAGGCAAUGAUACGUAGCCGACCUGAGAGGGUAAUCGGCCACAUUGGGACUGAGACACGGCCCAAACUCCUACGGGAGGCAGCAGUAGGGAAUCUUCCACAAUGGACGCAAGUCUGAUGGAGCAACGCCGCGUGAGUGAUGAAGGGUUUCGGCUCGUAAAACUCUGUUGUUGGAGAAGAACGGGUGUCAGAGUAACUGUUGACAUCGUGACGGUAUCCAACCAGAAAGCCACGGCUAACUACGUGCCAGCAGCCGCGGUAAUACGUAGGUGGCAAGCGUUGUCCGGAUUUAUUGGGCGUAAAGCGAGCGCAGGCGGUUUUUUAGGUCUGAUGUGAAAGCCUUCGGCUUAACCGGAGAA